CAGCCGCCGCGGUAAAACCAGCACCUCAAGUGGUCAGGAUGAUUAUUGGGCCUAAAGCAUCCGUAGCCGGCUCUGUAAGUUUUCGGUUAAAUCUGUACGCUCAACGUACAGGCUGCCGGGAAUACUGCAAAGCUAGGGAGUGGGAGAAGUAGACGGUACUCGGUAGGAAGGGGUAAAAUCCUUUGAUCUAUUGAUGACCACCUGUGGCGAAGGCGGUCUACCAGAACACGUCCGACGGUGAGGGAUGAAAGCUGGGGGAGCAAACCGGAUUAGAUACCCGGGUAGUUCCAGCUGUAAACUACGCAAACUCAGUGAUGCAUUGGCUUGUGGCCAAUGCAGUGCUGCAGGGAAGCCGUUAAGUUUGCCGCCUGGGAAGUACGUACGCAAGUAUGAAACUUAAAGGAAUUGGCGGGGGAGCAC
This 420-nucleotide ribosomal RNA is filed under the name uncultured Nitrososphaerota archaeon. RNAcentral describes it as "bacterial SSU rRNA". It matches the Rfam family "Archaeal small subunit ribosomal RNA", at positions 459 to 879 of the family's 1478-position model. The record is from RNAcentral. Lineage: Archaea; Thermoproteati; Nitrososphaerota.